RNAcentral lists this ribosomal RNA (200 nucleotides) under uncultured Lysobacterales bacterium. RNAcentral describes it as "uncultured Xanthomonadales bacterium partial 16S ribosomal RNA". It matches the Rfam family "Bacterial small subunit ribosomal RNA", at positions 132 to 334 of the family's 1533-position model. The record is from RNAcentral. Lineage: Bacteria; Pseudomonadati; Pseudomonadota; Gammaproteobacteria; Lysobacterales.
UUUCGUGGGGGAUAACGUAGGGAAACUUACGCUAAUACCGCAUACGACCUACGGGUGAAAGCGGAGGACCUUCGGGCUUCGCGCGAUUGAAUGAGCCGAUGUCGGAUUAGCUAGUUGGCGGGGUAAAGGCCCACCAAAGCGACGAUCCGUAGCUGGUCUGAGAGGAUGAUCAGCCACACUGGAACUGAGACACGGUCCAG